CGUGCNUAGCGNCUGUAGUGANAUUGAAAGCCNCGGNUCANCGUGAAUUGCGUUUCNAACCACCAGGCUGGAGGAUGGCAGGGGUGAUGGAAUUGAUNGUGGAGCGGUGAAAUGCGUUGAUAUCAUCAGGAACACCGGUGGCGAAGGCGCAUCACUGGGCCAUUUCUGACGCUGAGGCACGAAAGCUAGGGUAGCGAACGGGAUUAGAUACCCCGGUAGUCCUAGCUGUAAACGAUGAGCACUAGGUUGAGGGGACUUCCACAUCCUCUCGGCCGUAGCGAAAGCAUUAAGUGCUCCGCCUGGGGAGUAUGGCCGCAAGGCUGAAACUCAAAGGAAUUGACGGGGGCUCACACAAGCGGU
This 360-nucleotide ribosomal RNA is filed under the name uncultured bacterium. RNAcentral's name for it is "partial 16S ribosomal RNA". It matches the Rfam family "Bacterial small subunit ribosomal RNA", at positions 566 to 933 of the family's 1533-position model. The record is from RNAcentral.